GCUAUGAUGAAUUUUCUGUUCAUCAUCUGAAAUGAUGAUGCUUUCAUGUCCUCUAAGAAGUUCUGAGCCU
This 70-nucleotide small nucleolar RNA is filed under the name Tinamus guttatus (white-throated tinamou). Its description in RNAcentral is "Small nucleolar RNA SNORD61". It matches the Rfam family "Small nucleolar RNA SNORD61". Rfam says of the family: U61 belongs to the C/D class of snoRNA which contain the C (UGAUGA) and D (CUGA) box motifs. Most of the members of the box C/D family function in directing site-specific 2'-O-methylation of substrate RNAs. The record is from Rfam by way of RNAcentral. Lineage: Eukaryota; Metazoa; Chordata; Aves; Tinamiformes; Tinamidae.